Molecule: long non-coding RNA, 209 nt
Organism: Sebastes umbrosus (honeycomb rockfish)
Lineage: Eukaryota; Metazoa; Chordata; Actinopteri; Perciformes; Sebastidae
Exons: 3
Source: RefSeq, a predicted model, not a curated record
UGUUUUCAGUUCAUGAAAGUUAAUUGUAAAAUUUUUGUCGCCUAAAAACAGCAUAUUCAACGUUCGGUUGUACUUAGCUACACUGUCUUGUGUCACUUCUGGUUGCAAAAAAACAAGUAGCGAUGCCCAAAAUGCCAAAUUUGAGGCUUAAAAACGGCAGUCUAUAACCAAUGGGUGACGUCACGUUGACUACUCUGUUUUGAGGCGAC